CGGGGUGUAGCUUAGCUUGGUAGAGCGCCUGGUUUGGGACCAGGAGGUCGCAGGUUCGAAUCCUGUCACCCCGA
This 74-nucleotide transfer RNA is filed under the name Verrucomicrobiota bacterium. Its description in RNAcentral is "tRNA-Pro". It matches the Rfam family "tRNA". From Rfam's summary of the family: Transfer RNA (tRNA) molecules are approximately 80 nucleotides in length. The record is from RNAcentral. Lineage: Bacteria; Pseudomonadati; Verrucomicrobiota. RNAcentral also lists the same sequence under 5 other names.